GUAGGGAAUAUUGGACAAUGGGGGCAACCCUGAUCCAGCGACGCCGCGUGAGUGAUGAAGGCCUUCGGGUCGUAAAACUCUGUUGCAGGGGAAGAACACAAUGACGGUACCCUGCUAGAAAGGAUCGGCUAACUUCGUGCCAGCAGCCGCGGUAAGACGAGGGAUCCUAGCGUUGUUCGGAAUUAUUGGGCGUAAAGCGGGUGCAGGUGGCUUGGUAAGUCAGAUGUGAAAGCCUGGGGCUUAACCCCAGAAGUGCAUUUGAUACUGCUGAGCUUGAGUGCUGGAGAGGCUAUUAGAAUUCCUGGUGUAGUGGUGAAAUACGUAGAUAUCAGGAGGAAUACCGGAGGCGAAGGCGGAUAGCUGGCCAGACACUGACACUCAGACCCGAAAGCGUGGGGAUCAAACAGGAUUAGAUACCCUUGUAGUCC
This 428-nucleotide ribosomal RNA is filed under the name uncultured bacterium. RNAcentral describes it as "partial 16S ribosomal RNA". It matches the Rfam family "Bacterial small subunit ribosomal RNA", at positions 354 to 796 of the family's 1533-position model. The record is from RNAcentral.